RNAcentral lists this ribosomal RNA (408 nucleotides) under uncultured bacterium. RNAcentral describes it as "partial 16S ribosomal RNA". It matches the Rfam family "Bacterial small subunit ribosomal RNA", at positions 355 to 774 of the family's 1533-position model. The record is from RNAcentral.
UGGGGAAUAUUGCACAAUGGGCGAAAGCCUGAUGCAGCGACGCCGCGUGAGGGAUGACGGCCUUCGGGCUGUAAACCUCUUUCAGCCGGGAAGAAGCCACAAGUGCCGGUACCUGCAGAAGAAGCGCCGGCUAACUACGUGCCAGCAGCCGCGGUAAUACGUAGGGCGCAAGCGUUGUCCGGAAUUAUUGGGCGUAAAGAGCUCGUAGGCGGUUUGUCGCGUCUGCUGUGAAAGCCCGGGGCUUAACCCCGGGUGUGCAGUGGGUACGGGCAGACUAGAGUGCAGUAGGGGAGACUGGAAUUCCUGGUGUAGCGGUGGAAUGCGCAGAUAUCAGGAGGAACACCGAUGGCGAAGGCAGGUCUCUGGGCUGUUACUGACGCUGAGGAGCGAAAGCAUGGGGAGCGAACA